UACGUAGGGCGCAAGCGUUGUCCGGAAUUAUUGGGCGUAAAGAGCUCGUAGGCGGUCUGUCGCGUCUGCCGUGAAAACCCGAGGCUUAACCUCGGGCUGGCGGUGGAUACGGGCAGACUAGAGGUAGGUAGGGGAGAAUGGAAUUCCCGGUGUAGCGGUGAAAUGCGCAGAUAUCAGGAGGAACACCGGUGGCGAAGGCGGGUCUCUGGGCCGAUACUGACGCUGAGGAGCGAAAGCAUGGGUAGCGAACAGG
RNAcentral lists this ribosomal RNA (253 nucleotides) under uncultured bacterium. Its description in RNAcentral is "partial 16S ribosomal RNA". It matches the Rfam family "Bacterial small subunit ribosomal RNA", at positions 524 to 776 of the family's 1533-position model. The record is from RNAcentral.